UACGGAGGAUCCGAGCGUUAUCCGGAUUUAUUGGGUUUAAAGGGUGCGUAGGCGGGAAUGUAAGUCAGUGGUGAAAUCCUGCAGCUUAACUGUAGAAUAACCGUUGAAACUGUGUUUCUUGAGUACAUUUGAGGUAGGCGGAAUGUGGUGUGUAGCGGUGAAAUGCAUAGAUAUACCACAGAACACCGAUUGCGAAGGCAGCUUACUAAACUGUCACUGACGCUGAUGCACGAAAGCGUGGGUAUCAAACAGGAUUAGAUA
RNAcentral lists this ribosomal RNA (261 nucleotides) under uncultured prokaryote. RNAcentral's name for it is "partial 16S ribosomal RNA". It matches the Rfam family "Bacterial small subunit ribosomal RNA", at positions 524 to 784 of the family's 1533-position model. The record is from RNAcentral.